UGAAGGUCAGGCUGAAGACCUUACCCGAUUAGCUGAGAGGUGGUGCAUGGCCGUCGUCAGUUCGUACUGUGAAGCAUCCUGUUAAGUCAGGCAACGAGCGAGACCCACGUCCACAGUUGCCAGCAUACCCUCCGGGGUGAUGGGUACACUGUGGAGACCGCCGCUGCUAAGGCGGAGGAAGGAGUGGGCAACGGUAGGUCAGUAUGCCUCGAAUCUCCCGGGCUACACGCGGGCUACAAUGGUUGGUACAAUGGGCAUCUACCCCGAAAGGGGAAGGAAAUCUCUUAAAGCCAAUCGUAGUUCGGAUUGAGGGCUGCAACUCGCCCUCAUGAAGCUGGAAUCCGUAGUAAUCGCGUUUCAACAGAACGCGGUGAAUACGUCCCUGCUCCUU
This 391-nucleotide ribosomal RNA is filed under the name uncultured Methanosaeta sp. Its description in RNAcentral is "bacterial SSU rRNA". It matches the Rfam family "Archaeal small subunit ribosomal RNA", at positions 948 to 1338 of the family's 1478-position model. The record is from RNAcentral. Lineage: Archaea; Methanobacteriati; Methanobacteriota; Methanomicrobia; Methanotrichales; Methanotrichaceae.